GGACUACCGGGGUAUCUAAUCCUGUUCGCUCCCCACGCUUUCGCUCCUCAGCGUCAGUAUCGGCCCAGAGACCCGCCUUCGCCACCGGUGUUCCUCCUGAUAUCUGCGCAUUUCACCGCUACACCAGGAAUUCCAGUCUCCCCUGCCGAACUCAAGUGAUGCCCGUAUCGACCGCACGCGCACAGUUAAGCUGUACGUUUUCACGAUCGACGCGACACACCGCCUACGAGCUCUUUACGCCCAAUAAUUCCGGACAACGCUCGCACCCUACGUAUUACCGCGGCUGCUGGCAC
This 293-nucleotide ribosomal RNA is filed under the name uncultured bacterium. Its description in RNAcentral is "partial 16S ribosomal RNA". The record is from RNAcentral.